AACCAUCCCUGGAGACACCCCAGGCCAGGCUGGAUGGGGCUCUGAGCAACCCGAUCAGGGUGAAGACGUUCCUGCUCAUGGCAGGAGGUGGCACUCAACGAGCUUUGAAGGUCCCUUCCAACCCAAACUAUUCUGUGAUUCUAUGUGAGAACAAUCCUGGUUUCUCAGCCAAAGAGAGAGCGAGGUCCACACCACAAGGCUGCUGACAAGAGUCUUCAUUUGCUCUUUAUGGAUUAUUUUCCUUCUCUUUCAGAAGGUGCUCCUGCAGCUCUUCCUCUGGGGAAGAGCUGCCAGUAGCGUUGAGCAGUGUGGACAGAAAUCAUGUUCCUCCAGCUUUUCAGCCUAAGAAUGCAAAUCCAGCUGUGAAGGGGUUCACUCGACACUUGGUUCCCUGACAGCCCCUGGACUCUCAUUUUCAGGCACAAGAUGGCCCCAAAAAAGAACUGGUUUGUGAUGGACAGGCAGAGGAUGCAGUUCUUGAGGGACAUGAGGUGCUUCCGAGUCAUCCUCCUGUUGCUUCUGGUGGCUCUUGGCAUUUACUGCACAACCUCGAUGCCAGGGUGGACAACACAGGCAAAGGGAUGGAUGGAGGUGGGUGACUCCUGCAAGGGAGCGCUGCUGACAGGGGCUGCAGAAAUCACGGGCUCUUCUGCUUCCGUGCAGGGCGACCCAAAGAAAGAGCAGCUUGAGCCGUGUCUCCUGGGGAAGCCUGCCCCGGGGAGCCCUGGCAGCUCUGGUGGUGGAGACUCUAACGGGGAAUUGUUCCCUUUCAGGAGCAGAUCUGUGGGUCCGCAAUCGAACGGAAGAUCCAGAGGUAAGAGAUGUUUCCUGAGCUGCAACUGGGUCUGUGCAGAAGCCUCAGCCAACACCUUAUGCUACCUGCACCCAUUUUUCUAAAGCCAGGGCUCCCGUCCUUCCCUCUGGCCUUUGCAUUGCUCAGCCUGGUGAGGAGGGAAGCGCUGGCAAAGCCGGGCGAGCACACGUGUCUGUGCUCCGUGCUGAGCUCCGGCGCUCCCCAGAGGGGAUGGACAUCUCUCUGACAAGAUCUGCUUUCCUGGUCCCUCAGCGAUUACCAGGCUUUGCUGGUGGCACAAAAUCAAAAUAUGCGGCGUCUGCUGCAGGAGGUGGCUCAGCUGAGGGUGCAGCUCAUCAGCGCGAGGAAGGUGAGCGUGCAUUUGGGGAAGGAGGUUUGGCUGGGCAGAAGCCCCGAGAAAGCCUCCUUGGGGUUGUUGGUGGGCUUGGACUGCUGACCGUGCUGUUCCUCAACCAGGCAGCGUCCGAGGCGGCUUCGCAAGUCUCCGUGGAGAUGUCUGACUGGGCCCUGCAGAGCGCUGGUACGGACACAAGCAGCCCAGCCGUGCUCCCGGCGCUGCUCUCCAAACUGCUGAUGAGGACAGGACUGAAAAACGAGGAGCUGGCAGCGGCCUCACGGGUCGCGUCUGAGCACCGAGUGCCCCGCUUGCGGUCAACUGCCCCCACUUCCUUCCAGGUGCCGCCAUCGACACGCGGAGAACUUCCCAGACCUACAGCUGCCAAGGGAAUUGGAUCUGCGGCGUUAUACAGUUAUUUCAUGCUGCCAACCCUCCUGAGGCUGUUCUGCAGCCCGAUGUUUCCCCAGGGAACUGCUGGCCUUUCCAAGGGCGUCAGGGCCAGGUGGUCAUCCGGUUGCCAGCACGAGUCCACCUGAGCGCCGUCACUGUGCAGCACAUCUCCAAGGAAGCUUCUCCCUCUGGGUCCGUCAUUAGCGCCCCCAGAGACGUCGCUGUCUUUGGACUGGAUGCGGAUGGAGAAGAGGAAACUCUGCUUGGGAUGUUCAUGUACAACGUGGCGAAAGAGCCCAUCCAGACGUUCCCGCUGAAGGCGCUGCCCAGAGCCUUUUCAUACGUCAAAUUUCUUGUCAAGAGCAACUGGGGAAACCCGAAGUAUACCUGCAUUUAUCGAGUGCGGGUUCACGGGAAGAUGGCAAAACCAGAAAGCCUCAGCUGAAACCAGAGCAGAAACAAAGGCAAAAAAUAAAAAAUGCUGUGUCGGUUCAGAUCGGUGUAGAAGAUGUGCAAACCUGAUUCCUCAGCCCAUGAACGUUCCUGUUCUUGAUCUGGCUCAUCUGUGUCAGAGGUUCGUUUGUGUCGGGUUAAUUAGUGUCGACGUGGAAUUUUGAAGUGUU
Molecule: long non-coding RNA, 2164 nt
Organism: Columba livia (rock pigeon)
Lineage: Eukaryota; Metazoa; Chordata; Aves; Columbiformes; Columbidae
Exons: 4
Source: RefSeq, a predicted model, not a curated record